RNAcentral lists this ribosomal RNA (776 nucleotides) under uncultured Neocallimastigales. RNAcentral describes it as "partial large subunit ribosomal RNA". It matches the Rfam family "Eukaryotic large subunit ribosomal RNA", at positions 24 to 628 of the family's 3401-position model. Lineage: Eukaryota; Fungi; Neocallimastigomycota; Neocallimastigomycetes; Neocallimastigales. The record is from RNAcentral.
UAUCUCUGUAGAGUCUGCAUAUCAAUAAGCGGAGGAAAAGAAACUAACUAGGAUUCCCUCAGUAACGGCGAGUGAAGCGGGAAGAGCUCAAAUUUGAAAUCUUCAAGGUUCUACCUUGACGAAUUGUAGUUUAAAGAAGUGUUUUCUGUUGGAGUUUUGGUAAAAGUUCUUUGGAAUAGGACAUCAUAGAGGGUGAGAAUCCCGUAUUUGACCAUUAUUUCCAGCUUUGAGAUACACUUUCAAAGAGUCGGAUUGUUUGGGAAUGCAGUCCAAAAUGGGUGGUAAAUUUCAUCUAAAGCUAAAUACCGGCGAGAGACCGAUAGCGAACAAGUACCGUGAGGGAAAGAUGAAAAGAACUUUGAAAAGAGAGUUAAACAGUACGUGAAAUUGUCAAAAGGGAAGCAUUUGACACCAGUGUUGUUUUCUCGAAAAUCAAUUAAAAAAGGUAGGAUUUUGUAUUGUUAUGACCUUAUCAGCUUACUGUACUCUUUUCUUGUCUUUUUUAAUGCACUUUUCGUUUAACAAGUCAACAUCAAUUUCUUUUGUUGUAAAAGAGUCAUUGGAAGGUGGCUUUCUUUUCGGAGAAAGUGUUUAUAGCCUUUGGCCUCUGCAAUCGGAGAGAUUGAGGUCUGCAGCGUAGAUCCUUCGGGGUUAGAUACAGUUAGAUGCUAAGUUAUAGCCUUUCAUAGACAACUUGUUGACUAUGAUCAGUCAUGUAGCUUACUCGCUUAUGCUAUUUUACCUACGCUUAGGAUGUUGACGAUCAGCUGAGCGCG